Molecule: long non-coding RNA, 557 nt
Filed under: Phascolarctos cinereus (koala)
Lineage: Eukaryota; Metazoa; Chordata; Mammalia; Diprotodontia; Phascolarctidae
Description: lncRNA (ENSPCIG00000032264.1)
Source: RNAcentral
GUGUGUGUGUGUGUUUGUGGUAGGAUGCCUCCCUCUCAUGUUUGUGGGGGAAAUAUUUUGCUGUUACUUUUUUGUUUUUACUCUGCCAUUUCAUGAGUACUUUUGUUUUGAACUGAUCAUAUAUUCUGGCAGACUAAGAUAACUAUAUUGGUGGAGCUUGUGAGUUUGAGGGAGCACAAAACCACAGAAUACCUUGAGCCUGGGGGUACUGCCCUCUGGGGAACUUCAUCUAGAAGUUGAGGAGUGGGGCUGGUACCAGGUCCUACGAUAGGAUCAUCCCAUUCUUUAUUGGCAGAGAACCCAGAAGUCAUCUUGUUGAAUCUACUCAUUUUAUAGAGGAGGCAACUAAAGCUUUCCAUUUGAUAGUAUAUAUGCACACACACACACACACACACACGUAUUUUUUAAGUCAUUCACACAGUAAAGAGCACACAUUCAUAUUUCAAAUUCUUCCCCUCCAGGAAUCAGCAUGGUUAUAUUAUUUCUAUAUUGCAAAUCUGAUCAAGGUUGCUGAGCCUCCUUCCUUCAGGUGCCGAGUGGCUCCAUGGUGGUUCUGA